Molecule: long non-coding RNA, 352 nt
Filed under: Eucalyptus grandis
Lineage: Eukaryota; Viridiplantae; Streptophyta; Magnoliopsida; Myrtales; Myrtaceae
Description: long non-coding RNA (EGRA_LNC006277)
Source: RNAcentral
GGGGACGCCGAGGAGAACAACUUUCCUCAAAGCGGGCCUAGCAUCCGGGCUCGGGAAGGCGGCCAAAACGAGCCAAACGUCCGCUGCAUACCCAUUUUCCAACUCUCUGAUCGCUGCUGGUUGGGGCCGAAAAUGAGCAGAUCCGGGGCUGGUUGGGGUCGGGAAUGGGCGGAGGAGCUGAACCGGACCUAGGCGGGGCUUCACGGUGGCCGGAGGUGAGCUGGGCGGCUCCGGCUGAGCUUCCCCAGAUCUGGAAAUGACUGCUGGACUCGCGGAACAGCAGGGACGAGCAGGCUUGCUGCGCGAGGACGGCGGGGUGUCGCGAGAGGCGGACGGCGGCAAGCGGGGCGCG